UGCUAGCCCUGAUGGGAGCGGCAUCCUCACGGAGUUUACGAAGUGAGAUACAGCGGACAGCAGGAAAUAGC
RNAcentral lists this small RNA (71 nucleotides) under Flavobacterium fontis. RNAcentral's name for it is "Flavo-1 RNA". It matches the Rfam family "Flavo-1 RNA". The record is from Rfam by way of RNAcentral. Lineage: Bacteria; Pseudomonadati; Bacteroidota; Flavobacteriia; Flavobacteriales; Flavobacteriaceae.